Molecule: ribosomal RNA, 253 nt
Filed under: uncultured bacterium
Lineage: Bacteria
Description: partial 16S ribosomal RNA
Rfam family: Bacterial small subunit ribosomal RNA
Source: RNAcentral
UACGUAGGGCGCAAGCGUUGUCCGGAAUUAUUGGGCGUAAAGAGCUCGUAGGCGGCCUGUCGCGUCUGCUGUGAAAUCCCGGGGCUUAACCCCGGGCGUGCAGUGGAUACGGGCUGGCUGGAGGCAGGCAGGGGAGAACGGAAUUCCCGGUGUAGCGGUGAAAUGCGCAGAUAUCGGGAGGAACACCGGUGGCGAAGGCGGUUCUCUGGGCCUGUACUGACGCUGAGGCGCGAAAGCUAGGGGAGCAAACAGG